RNAcentral lists this ribosomal RNA (405 nucleotides) under Triticum aestivum (bread wheat). RNAcentral's name for it is "partial small subunit ribosomal RNA". The record is from RNAcentral. Lineage: Eukaryota; Viridiplantae; Streptophyta; Magnoliopsida; Poales; Poaceae.
AUGGUGGUCAACCUCUUCAGGAUGGCUCCUCCAACGCGCACGACUCCGAAUCCUGAUCCGCCUCCACCUCCGCCUCCUCCGGAAGCAUGGCAAGCUGUGAUGGCCGCUACUAAUGCAAACACACAGUUGAUCAUGCAAAUUCUCCAAGAGCGCAAUCAAGGCAGUCAAGGGAAUCAAGGCCAUAAUCAACACCACUUUGCUACUCUGAACCAGUUCCUCGCAAAUGGCCCAAAGACGUUCAGCGGUUGUGUUGAGGCUACCGAUGCUGACGAUUGGCUAGUGGAUCUGGGCAAGCAUUUUGAAUGCAGCAACGUCAGGCCUGAAGAUUUCGUCAAGUUCGCUUCUUUCCAGCUCAAAGAUCAGGCUGCAGAGUGGUUCCAGCAGUACAAGGAUUCCAGAGGUGGA